UUAGUUUCUGAACUCACAUUCACGGUCAAAAAGUAUUCUCUCUUGUUACUUGUAAUGUGCCCUACUUUCAAGUCCUGCUACUUGCUUUUACUGUAUUUAAACUGGAAUGUUUUGAUUAAGAUUUUUCCGCAAUCACAACUAUAUGAUUACUUAAUACUUUUACCCUUUUGUCUUCCUACUGCUUCUGCUUAGUUCAAUAUUUAUUUUAGCAUGUUGUAAUCUACCUGUGCUGCAUCUACUAUACAUCCUAAAUGUGUUUGAGUCUAGUAGUUUGUUUGAGGCAUGAUAGUAUUAAGUAUUACUGUCUAUGACUCAAACUUGAUUCCCCUAUUAUCAUAACCUUUAUGUCACUAUCAUAUAUUGUGUAUUCUUGUUGAUUUUGUAAGCAUAAUAGCAGUCUCUAUUGUUGUGCAUGCCCAGAAUUAGAUGAGGCCUAAGUACAUAGGCUCUUUGCAAUCCCCAAUCCUUGAACCCUUUUGUGUGAAAUCCUCAAUCCUGUAACUGUUUCCCAGCACCUCUUCCCUUCCUCUUUACUUUCUUAGUUCUUUAAAACUAUGUUUCUUCACUUGCACUCUCUCUUAGACUUUAAGUUCUACCCACCCUCUUGUGAGCCUUUCCUUGGGACCCAUUAAGCUCCCUAUGAACUUGGACACUUGAGAGAUUGCCCUUCCAGACUACGCUUGUCCCUAUUUUGGUAAUACAAUUUGGGUGUGAGAACCGUCCGGAGUCCCAUUGAGGCUAUUAGGGAACUCUAACACAUUCAAAUUGGAGAAAGGCUUUGGAUCGAUGGUCUUUGAGUUGGUCUAUUUCAUAAUUCAGACAGGAAGUCAAAAUCAGGCUUCCUCUAGUU
Molecule: long non-coding RNA, 850 nt
Filed under: Nicotiana benthamiana
Lineage: Eukaryota; Viridiplantae; Streptophyta; Magnoliopsida; Solanales; Solanaceae
Description: long non-coding RNA (NBEN_LNC042105)
Source: RNAcentral